GACGAACGCUGGCGGCGUGCCUAACACAUGCAAGUCGAGCGGGAACCUGAGGAGGGGUAACCCUCUUCAGGGGAGAGCGGCGAACGGGUGAGUAUCACGUGGGCAACCUGCCCCGGACACCGGGAUAACCCAGGGAAACCUGAGCUAAUACCGGAUACUCCGGCGCGAUCGCAUGGUCGCGCCGGGAAAGCUCCGACGGUCCGGGAUGGGCCCGCGGCCUAUCAGCUUGUUGGCGGGGUAACGGCCCACCAAGGCGACGACGGGUAGCUGGUCUGAGAGGACGGCCAGCCACACUGGGACUGAGACACGGCCCAGACUCCUACGGGAGGCAGCAGUGGGGGAUAUUGCGCUAAUGCGCGAAAGCGUGACGCAGCGACGCCGCGUGGGGGAUGAAGGCCCUCGGGUCGUAAACCCCUUUCGCCAGGGACGAAGCGAAAGUGACGGUACCUGGAGAAGAAGUCCCGGCUAACUACGUGCCAGCAGCCGCGGUAACACGUAGGGGACGAGCGUUGUCCGGAUUCAUUGGCGU
This 529-nucleotide ribosomal RNA is filed under the name uncultured bacterium. RNAcentral describes it as "bacterial SSU rRNA". It matches the Rfam family "Bacterial small subunit ribosomal RNA", at positions 28 to 561 of the family's 1533-position model. The record is from RNAcentral.